CAGUAGCCACGGGAAUACGUAGGGUGCAAGCGUUAAUCGGAAUUACUGGGCGUAAAGCGUGCGCAGGCGGUUAUAUAAGUCAGAUGUGAAAUCCCCGGGCUCAACCUGGGAACUGCAUUUGAGACUGUAUGGCUAGAGUGUGUCAGAGGGGGGUAGAAUUCCACGUGUAGCAGUGAAAUGCGUAGACAUGUGGAGGAAUACCGAUGGCGAAGGCAGCCCCCUGGGAUAACACUGACGCUCAUGCACGAAAGCGUGGGGAGCAAACAGGAUUAGAUACCCGAGUAGUCCCUGUCUCUUAUAA
RNAcentral lists this ribosomal RNA (301 nucleotides) under uncultured bacterium. RNAcentral describes it as "partial 16S ribosomal RNA". It matches the Rfam family "Bacterial small subunit ribosomal RNA", at positions 509 to 809 of the family's 1533-position model. The record is from RNAcentral.